AGAGUUUGAUCCUGGCUCAGGAUGAACGCCGGCGGUGUGCCUAAUACAUGCAAGUCGUACGCACUGGCCCAACUGAUUAAUGGUGCUUGCACCUGAUUGACGAUGGAUCACCAGUGAGUGGCGGACGGGUGAGUAACACGUAGGUAACCUGCCCCGG
Molecule: ribosomal RNA, 157 nt
Filed under: uncultured bacterium
Lineage: Bacteria
Description: partial 16S ribosomal RNA
Rfam family: Bacterial small subunit ribosomal RNA
Source: RNAcentral